This 1046-nucleotide long non-coding RNA is filed under the name Homo sapiens (human). RNAcentral describes it as "HSALNT0046698". Lineage: Eukaryota; Metazoa; Chordata; Mammalia; Primates; Hominidae. The record is from RNAcentral.
UUCCAAAAGACCAUGGAGAUGUCUGGCUGCUAUAGAUACCCCAGAAAGUCACUCACCAAACAAAUUCGGAAAAAUUGGAAAAAUUAACAUUGCAUUGGGCAUUCUGGGAAACCAGGGCCAAGAAGUUUAGGCUCUCGCUGACAGUUAUAUUCAUUCUGGAGCCACAAAGUCCUCCUGUUUAAUUAAGUGCUGAGAGUUGGGGACUCGCUUAAUGACUGGAUUGCCUCUUGUUCCCAGCACAAAAAAGUGGACCAACAUCUGCAUGGUCUUCUCCAGGUAGGAGAGAGCAGAUGGUUUAAGCCUUUGCCAGGAGGCCUCAUUCACACGCUGGAUUUUAAGGCAUCGUGGUGCUUGUGAGGUGCUUGGUGAGUCUCAGUCAAAUGCUUCUUUGUAAGGCGUGGUAUGAAGGGGUCACUUAGAAGGUGAGCAAGACAUUAAAUGCUCCAUUUCCUCACUGUGAGGUAACACUCUGCAGUCAAACCAGGAGGAGGGAUUUAUUUCAUUUGCUCCUGAAGUUAAAUCUCAUGAAAUCAUGUGAAAUUCAGUGAUGUGUUACUGGGAACAAAAAGGGUUACGUUAUUAAUUGUGAUGCCUUCCCACAAGAGCUGUGUCUGUACUGUGCCACAUAACCCCUGAAGCUGAAUAAAGAACUUUCUCCUUGAUUCCCCCAGCCCUCCAAAAACAUCAGGUGAUGAGGUCCCAUUGUAAAUGACCCAAGGACAAACAGCUCAUGACUUCAAAGGAGGCCUCUUCAACCCAGGGCAAAUUCAGGCCUUCAUUCCAGGGGUCUGUAAGCAAGUACUGAGUGAAGAGAUAUCCUAAAAUCAAUCGUUCCUCUUUGCCAACCCUGGAUAAUGGCAACAACUUCUUUAGUGGCAUGCUGCAUGCUCUGUUUGGUCAUGUCCAGAGAUACCCAAGAUAAAGAAGUUUGAUAAAUAUACACAUUAACUCAGCAAAAAUAACAUGGUUAUUUUCAUGAAUAUUGCACUUGGGCACAUCAGCAAAAUUCAAAAGUGAUAAAAGAAAAAUUGUUGCCUGUCAAAAAG